RNAcentral lists this ribosomal RNA (487 nucleotides) under uncultured bacterium. Its description in RNAcentral is "partial 16S ribosomal RNA". It matches the Rfam family "Bacterial small subunit ribosomal RNA", at positions 899 to 1397 of the family's 1533-position model. The record is from RNAcentral.
ACUCAAAUGAAUUGACGGGGACCCGCACAAGCGGUGGAGCAUGUGGUUUAAUUCGAUGGUAAGCGAAGAACCUUACCGAGGUUUGACAUCCCUGGAAAGUCCGCGAAAUCGGACCGUGCCGCAAGGAACCAGGUGACAGAUGUUGCACGGCUGUCGUCAGCUCGUGCUGUGAAGUGUACGGUUAAGUCCGUAAACGAGCGCAACCCUUGUCGUGUGUUGUAUUUUUCACACGAAACUGCCGGCGUUAAGUCGGAGGAAGGUGGGGAUGACGUCAAGUCAGCGUGGCUCUUACACCUCGGGCUACACACGUGCUACAAUGGGAAGUAACAAUGGGUUGCGAAAUCGCGAGAUGGAGCUAAUCCCACCAAACCUUCCCUCAGUUCGGAUUGAAGGCUGCAACUCGCCUUCAUGAAGUUGGAAUCGCUAGUAACCGCCGGUCAGCCAUACGGCAGUGAAUACGUUCUCGGGUCUUGCACACACCGCCCGU